This 496-nucleotide ribosomal RNA is filed under the name uncultured bacterium. RNAcentral describes it as "partial 16S ribosomal RNA". It matches the Rfam family "Bacterial small subunit ribosomal RNA", at positions 29 to 507 of the family's 1533-position model. The record is from RNAcentral.
AUGCACGCUGGCGGCGUGCCUAAUCCAUGCAAGUCGCGCGAACGGACGAGAAGCUUGCUUCUCUGAUGUUAGCGGCGGACGGGUGAGUAACACGUGGAUAACCUACCUAUAAGACUGGGAUAACUUCGGGAAACCGGAGCUAAUACCGGAUAAUAUUUUGAACCGCAUGGUUCAAAAGUGAAAGAUGGUCUUGCUGACACUUAUAGAUGGAUCCGCGCUGCAUUAGCUAGUUGGUAAGGUAACGGCUUACCAAGGCAACGAUGCAUAGCCGACCUGAGAGGGUGAUCGGCCACACUGGAACUGAGACACGGUCCAGACUCCUACGGGAGGCAGCAGUAGGGAAUCUUCCGCAAUGGGCGAAAGCCUGACGGAGCAACGCCGCGUGAGUGAUGAAGGUCUUCGGAUCGUAAAACUCUGUUAUUAGGGAAGAACAUAUGUGUAAGUAACUGUGCACAUCUUGACGGUACCUAAUCAGAAAGCCACGGCUAACUACGUG